Molecule: ribosomal RNA, 492 nt
Filed under: uncultured bacterium
Lineage: Bacteria
Description: partial 16S ribosomal RNA
Rfam family: Bacterial small subunit ribosomal RNA
Source: RNAcentral
AGUGAACGCUGGCGGUAGGCCUAACACAUGCAAGUCGAACGGCAGCACAGUAAGAGCUUGCUCUUACGGGUGGCGAGUGGCGGACGGGUGAGGAAUACAUCGGAAUCUACUUUUUCGUGGGGGAUAACGUAGGGAAACUUACGCUAAUACCGCAUACGACCUACGGGUGAAAGCAGGGGAUCUUCGGACCUUGCGCGAUUGAAUGAGCCGAUGUCGGAUUAGCUAGUUGGCGGGGUAAAGGCCCACCAAGGCGACGAUCCGUAGCUGGUCUGGGAGGAUGAUCAGCCACACUGGAACUGAGACACGGUCCAGACUCCUACGGGAGGCAGCAGUGGGGAGUAUUGGACAAUGGGCGCAAGCCUGAUCCAGCCAUACCGCGUGGGUGAAGAAGGCCUUCGGGUUGUAAAGCCCUUUUGUUGGGAAAGAAAAGCAGCAGGUUAAUACCCCGCUGUUCUGACGGUACCCAAAGAAUAAGCACCGGCUAACUUCGUG